GAUAGAAUGGCUGAUAAUAGGCGGUAAAUUGUAAAUUUAUUUAUGAAUUAAAAUUCUUCUGUCA
Molecule: transfer RNA, 64 nt
Filed under: Siemssenius fulvipennis
Lineage: Eukaryota; Metazoa; Arthropoda; Insecta; Coleoptera; Chrysomelidae
Description: tRNA-Tyr
Source: RNAcentral